CACAGCUCUGGUCCUGUGUGAAGACACCAGGGGCUGACAGAGGUUCUUUAGCAGCAGCACCCCAGUGAAUCACUGCUAUGGAAACAGCCAGGAAUUCUGUGUAUGACAUCUGGAGAGCUUCCAAAGAGAGAGUACUGUACCUUCUUCUCUAGCUAUACAUCCAAGGAAACAUAAAUACUCUCCAAGUUCCCCAACUGGCCUGAGCUCUGCAGACCAGGGGCUGUGACAGAGUAGUACAGCAUGUAAGGACUGUAUCCUGUGGACCGCCCUUCCCUCUGGAUGGCUUCCUCCCCAUGUGCAGAGGUGACUCCUGGUGAGGCACUCAUCCAGCUGCUUCAGGCAGGACCAGCUGCGUUCCAAACCCGUGACUGCAGCAGCCAUGACCCCUCCGAAAGGAAAUCUGAGCCCGCGAGCAGUUGUGCUUGGGGAGGGCCGGGCUCUCACGUUUCUCUGUUUUGUUUUGGAGCCUCGGAUAAAUAGUGAGCUUGCUUUUUCCCUUCAUUUCUUUUCUUACUUUCUUACUUUCUUUUUUUUUUUUUUUCCUCUGAAUGUAUUUCCACAGCCUCAAAAAAAGGAAUUUUAAAAAG
Molecule: non-coding RNA, 587 nt
Organism: Taeniopygia guttata (zebra finch)
Lineage: Eukaryota; Metazoa; Chordata; Aves; Passeriformes; Estrildidae
Source: RefSeq, a predicted model, not a curated record